Molecule: unclassified non-coding RNA, 329 nt
Filed under: soil metagenome
Description: partial contains 5.8S ribosomal RNA, internal transcribed spacer 2, and large subunit ribosomal RNA
Rfam family: 5.8S ribosomal RNA (bases 1-120)
Source: RNAcentral
GAUGAAGAACGCAGCGAAAUGCGAUAAGUAAUGUGAAUUGCAGAAUUCAGUGAAUCAUCGAAUCUUUGAACGCACAUUGCGCCCCUUGGUAUUCCGAGGGGCAUGCCUGUUCGAGUGUCAUUAUAACCCCUCAAGCUCAGCUUGGUGUUGGGGCCUGCUGCACUGGCAGCCCUUAAAAUCAGUGGCGGCGCCAUCUGGCUCUAAGCGUAGUAAUUCUUCUCGCUAUGGAGUCCUGGUGGAUGCUUGCCAUCAACCCCCAAUUUUUCUAUGGUUGACCUCGGAUCAGGUAGGGAUACCCGCUGAACUUAAGCAUAUCAAUAAGCGGAGGA